RNAcentral lists this ribosomal RNA (497 nucleotides) under uncultured bacterium. RNAcentral's name for it is "partial 16S ribosomal RNA". It matches the Rfam family "Bacterial small subunit ribosomal RNA", at positions 28 to 507 of the family's 1533-position model. The record is from RNAcentral.
GAUGAACGCUGGCGGCGUGCCUAAUACAUGCAAGUCGAGCGAACAGACGAGGAGCUUGCUCCUCUGACGUUAGCGGCGGACGGGUGAGUAACACGUGGAUAACCUACCUAUAAGACUGGGAUAACUUCGGGAAACCGGAGCUAAUACCGGAUAAUAUAUUGAACCGCAUGGUUCAAUAGUGAAAGACGGUUUUGCUGUCACUUAUAGCUGGAUCCGCGCCGCAUUAGCUAGUUGGUAAGGUAACGGCUUACCAAGGCAACGAUGCGUAGCCGACCUGAGAGGGUGAUCGGCCACACUGGAACUGAGACACGGUCCAGACUCCUACGGGAGGCAGCAGUAGGGAAUCUUCCGCAAUGGGCGAAAGCCUGACGGAGCAACGCCGCGUGAGUGAUGAAGGUCUUCGGAUCGUAAAACUCUGUUAUUAGGGAAGAACAAAUGUGUAAGUAACUAUGCACGUCUUGACGGUACCUAACCAGAAAGCCACGGCUAACUACGUG